UGGGGAAUAUUCCGCAAUGCGCGAAAGCGUGACGGAGCAAUGCCGCGUGUGGGAUGAAGUAGCUUCGCUAUGUAAACCCCUGUCAGGGGCGAGGAAUCAUGACCAGCCCCAGAGGAAGGACCGGCUAAACUCGUGCCAGCAGCCGCGGUAAUACGAGUGGUCCAAGCGUUAGUCGGAAUCACUGGGCUUAAAGGGUGCGUAGGCGGUCCGGAAAGCGUCUUGUGAAAGCCCUCGGCUCAACCGAGGAAC
Molecule: ribosomal RNA, 249 nt
Filed under: uncultured Phycisphaerales bacterium
Lineage: Bacteria; Pseudomonadati; Planctomycetota; Phycisphaerae; Phycisphaerales
Description: partial 16S ribosomal RNA
Rfam family: Bacterial small subunit ribosomal RNA
Source: RNAcentral